GUCUAUGGCCAUGCCACCCUGAACGUGCCCAAUCUUGUCUGAUCUUGGAAGCUAAGCAGGUUCAGGCCUGGUUAGUACUUGGAUGGGAGACCACCUAGGAAUACCAGGUGCUGUUGGCA
Molecule: ribosomal RNA, 119 nt
Filed under: Pteropus alecto (black flying fox)
Lineage: Eukaryota; Metazoa; Chordata; Mammalia; Chiroptera; Pteropodidae
Also listed under: 1 other name
Source: RNAcentral